Molecule: transfer RNA, 69 nt
Filed under: Ictidomys tridecemlineatus (thirteen-lined ground squirrel)
Lineage: Eukaryota; Metazoa; Chordata; Mammalia; Rodentia; Sciuridae
Description: Spermophilus tridecemlineatus (thirteen-lined ground squirrel) tRNA
Rfam family: tRNA
About the family: Transfer RNA (tRNA) molecules are approximately 80 nucleotides in length. Their secondary structure includes four short double-helical elements and three loops (D, anti-codon, and T loops).
Source: Rfam by way of RNAcentral
GGGGUUGUGGCUCAGUGGUAGAGUGUUGGCCUAGUACACCUGAGGCAUUGGGUUUGAUCCCCAGCACCA